This 684-nucleotide long non-coding RNA is filed under the name Anser cygnoides (Swan goose). RNAcentral describes it as "lncRNA (ENSACDG00005002015.1)". Lineage: Eukaryota; Metazoa; Chordata; Aves; Anseriformes; Anatidae. The record is from RNAcentral.
GAAGGAAUGGUCACAAGUGAGGGCUGGUUCUUGUCAGGUGACCUUACUGAUGAAGACAAUCGGAAGAACAGAGCUUAUAUUAAAGUGGUUAAUAUGACUCUGAAGUAGCAGUUAGACUGCCUUCUCGAUCUUGUUAAAAGAUAACAAUUUUAAUUUAUUUUAUUUUUCCAAUUUCUAUAAAAACAAUGUUAUUCCUUAUCUUCAGCUGUGAUAAAGUGGUACAUGUAGGUAAUUCUAAGCCAAGGAUUGUUAUAUACCACAGAAGAAGUGUGAUACAGAGUGGAAAAGGCAGUAAAAUGGAAACUGAGACAUUGAGUUAGCAGGAAGACUACUGGAAGGAACACCCUGCAUGACUGAAUCCAGUUUCCUGCUAGCGCAGUCAGACAUAGGUAAGGGAUUGUAACAUAAAUUGAUCAAGCAACAUCUCAGAAGCAGAUAGGAUCUUUAUGUUGACUCUGCUGUGUAAAAAUGCUGGGAUUCUGCUCUAGAACACCAUGGCCCAAGAAACUUUAAUUUAGUUUAUGUUUGUUCAUACACCCGUUGACCUUCAUUUCUCUUACUGCAUUCAUAUUGGAUCAUUCCAGUACUUACACUGAUAUUCCACACACCUGCUUCACUUUUAUGAACUUCACUCUUAAGUCUCUUCAAUAUCUUUGUCAAAUUAUUUCCUUUGGUGAUGAAGCC